GAUGAACGCUGGCGGCGUGCCUAAUACAUGCAAGUCGAGCGAAAAGAUAGGGAGCUUGCUCCUUUGACGUUAGCGGCGGACGGGUGAGUAACACGUGGGUAACCUACCUAUAAGACUGGGAUAACUUCGGGAAACCGGAGCUAAUACCGGAUAACAUUUGGAACCGCAUGGUUCUAAAGUGAAAGAUGGUUUUGCUAUCACUCAUAGAUGGACCCGCGCCGUAUUAGCUAGUUGGUAAGGUAACGGCUUACCAAGGCAACGAUACGUAGCCGACCUGAGAGGGUGAUCGGCCACACUGGAACUGAGACACGGUCCAGACUCCUACGGGAGGCAGCAGUAGGGAAUCUUCCGCAAUGGGCGAAAGCCUGACGGAGCAACGCCGCGUGAGUGAUGAAGGGUUUCGGCUCGUAAAACUCUGUUAUUAGGGAAGAACAAAUGUGUAAGUAACUGUGCACGUCUUGACGGUACCUAAUCAGAAAGCCACGGCUAACUACGUG
This 497-nucleotide ribosomal RNA is filed under the name uncultured bacterium. Its description in RNAcentral is "partial 16S ribosomal RNA". It matches the Rfam family "Bacterial small subunit ribosomal RNA", at positions 28 to 507 of the family's 1533-position model. The record is from RNAcentral.